RNAcentral lists this ribosomal RNA (465 nucleotides) under uncultured bacterium. RNAcentral's name for it is "partial 16S ribosomal RNA". It matches the Rfam family "Bacterial small subunit ribosomal RNA", at positions 28 to 507 of the family's 1533-position model. The record is from RNAcentral.
GACGAACGCUGGCGGCGUGCUUAACACAUGCAAGUCGAACGGAAAGGCCCUGCUUGCAGGGUACUCGAGUGGCGAACGGGUGAGUAACACGUGGGUGAUCUGCCCUGCACUUCGGGAUAAGCCUGGGAAACUGGGUCUAAUACCGGAUAUGACCUUCCAUGUAGUGUGGGGGGUGGAAAGAUUUAUCGGUGUGGGAUGAGCCCGCGGCCUAUCAGCUUGUUGGUGGGGUAAUGGCCUACCAAGGCGUCGACGGGUAGCCGGCCUGCGAGGGUGGACGGCCACAUUGGGACUGAGAUACGGCCCAGACUCCUACGGGAGGCAGCAGUGGGGAAUAUUGCACAAUGGGCGGAAGCCUGAUGCAGCGACGCCGCGUGGGGGAUGACGGCCUUCGGGUUGUAAACCUCUUUCGACAGGGACGAAGCUUCGGUGACGGUACCUGUAUAAGAAGCACCGGCUAACUACGUG